GUGCCAGCAGCCGCGGUAAUACCGGCAGUCCGAGUGAUGGCCGAUAUUAUUGGGCCUAAAGCGUUCGUAGUUGGCCGACCAAGUCUCCCGGGAAAUCCACCCGCCCAACGGGUGGGCGUCCGGUAGAAACUGGCCGGCUUGGAACCGGAAGGCUCAGAGAGUACGUCCGGGGUAGGAGUGAAAUCCCGUAAUCCCGGACGGACUACCGAUGGCGAAAGCACUCUGAGAAGACGGCUUCAACAGUGAGGGACGAAAGCUCGGGUCUCAAACCGGAUUAGAAACCCCGGUAGUCC
RNAcentral lists this ribosomal RNA (293 nucleotides) under uncultured bacterium. RNAcentral's name for it is "partial 16S ribosomal RNA". It matches the Rfam family "Archaeal small subunit ribosomal RNA", at positions 455 to 747 of the family's 1478-position model. The record is from RNAcentral.